AACGAACGCUGGCGGCAGGCUUAACACAUGCAAGUCGAACGGGUGUAGCAAUACAUCAGUGGCAGACGGGUGAGUAACACGUGGGAACCUUCCUAGGGGUACGGAACAACUCAGGGAAACUUGAGCUAAUACCGUAUACGUCCGUAAGGAGAAAGAUUCAUCGCCCCUAGACGGGCCCGCGUCGGAUUAGGUAGUUGGUGGGGUAACGGCCUACCAAGCCUACGAUCCGUAGCUGAUCUGAGAGGANGAUCAGCCACACUGGGACUGAGACACGGCCCAGACUCCUACGGGAGGCAGCAGUGGGGAAUCUUGGACAAUGGGCGCAAGCCUGAUCCAGCCAUGCCGCGUGAGUGAAGAAGGCCUUAGGGUUGUAAAGCUCUUUUACCAGGGACGAUAAUGACGGUACCUGGAGAAUAAGCCCCGGCAAACUUCGUGCCAGCAGCCGCCGUAAU
This 452-nucleotide ribosomal RNA is filed under the name uncultured bacterium. Its description in RNAcentral is "bacterial SSU rRNA". It matches the Rfam family "Bacterial small subunit ribosomal RNA", at positions 29 to 524 of the family's 1533-position model. The record is from RNAcentral.